Molecule: long non-coding RNA, 473 nt
Organism: Mauremys reevesii (Reeves's turtle)
Lineage: Eukaryota; Metazoa; Chordata; Testudines; Geoemydidae
Exons: 3
Source: RefSeq, a predicted model, not a curated record
UUCUAAUGAGAAAGGACAGACCUGGCUUUGGCACUUAACUCCAGGACAUGGUUCAAAGCUGUGAAUGCUGAGUGGAGAUUGGUGCCUAAACUACUCUCCUCGCCAUCUCCUAUUGGCUAACUUAGGCUCCUGGCUUCAGGAAAUCCCAUUUUGAGCAUCUAACCCUCUUCAUGCAUCAUAUAGGAGCCUAGGCACCCAGCUCAAGGCUGAGGAUUUAAUUGGGCAGCAGGCACGUAAAAGUUAGGUGUUGUGACGCCUAAAUUGCUUUGUGGAUCUAACCCCAACAUCCUUGAAGCCUGACUGAUGUCUGUACAGUUGGGGGAAAUAAUAGGCCCAGUCCUGCAGUCCUUACUAGGGAUUCAACUCAGGAGGGAAGAAACACAUCAUCUGUGCUGGCUGGUUUUCACCCGAUUUGGCACACUGAGGGUUUGGAUGCACGUGAUUUUUGGUGCAAUUUCCAGUGAGAUCAAAUU